GCGUCUCCCAAUGGCCAAGAUAAGGACCCACGUCCCGCAUCCUGUGGCUGCACAUUCUCAGCCACAAGAGUCACUGCAGCCCCUUUCCGGAGGGAGGCGAUUCGGACAAUGGCAUCUCAGACUGAUGCAGCUAAUCCAGCUUUACCCAAGGGAAGUGGAUGAGGUCACAAGACUGGGAAAGGACUUGUUUGCUGUCGGGAGGAUGGUGAACUUGACAUGUCGAAGAGAGACGAGUGCUCUAUCUGUGGGCGAAGAAAGGAGUUUGCCAGCCCUCCGCAAGAGCCGCCUGUGAUGGAGACAAUGACGCAUGAGGCGAAGCAGGAGUGUGAAUAGCUCCGUCGC
Athene cunicularia (burrowing owl) is the source of this 342-nucleotide long non-coding RNA. RefSeq lists it as uncharacterized. The record is from RefSeq and is a predicted model, not a curated record. The transcript is spliced from 3 exons. NCBI's taxonomy places the organism in Eukaryota, Metazoa, Chordata, Aves, Strigiformes, Strigidae.